This 547-nucleotide long non-coding RNA is filed under the name Bos taurus (domestic cattle). RNAcentral describes it as "long non-coding RNA NONBTAT014251". The record is from RNAcentral. Lineage: Eukaryota; Metazoa; Chordata; Mammalia; Artiodactyla; Bovidae.
ACACGUAUCCUUUUUAGAACCUAUUUUGAAAACAAAUCAUGAAAUAACUUUAUUUCAAAGAAAGGAAUGAGAUUUGCAUUGGUCUCUUUUCUCAAACUAUAAUCAAAAUGUUUUUAUUUUAUUGUAAACUUUUGAACACAUUGUGAAUCAUGUCUAUCUUUUGUAUGGUGUGUUUUUUAAAGCUAUUGCUUUACACUUUUUCCUUUUUUCAGGCAAAUUAAAACUGAAGUCAAAAGAAACUUUAAAAAGAAAGACUUGUAGUACUAAUACUAAGUAAAGUUUCUAUUUUAUCAAUUAACACAGAUUUUAAUGAAUUAUUGAGAAAUAGUAGGUUAAAUAAGAAUUCAGUGCACUUUAUUAUCUCAGUAUUUAAGAGGCUGUAUAUGUAGAUUAUGCUUAAAAUCUAAAUGUAAUUGUUCAUAUUCUGUCGUAAUGAAAAAACUACUAGUUUUAUGUUUUGAUCUGAAAUUUUAGAAUUUUAAAGUUGGAAGAAAUGUUAGCUGUUCCCCCCCCUGCCCCCUUAAGUUAAUAUCAGUGUGACAUGCAA